Long non-coding RNA from Vulpes vulpes (red fox), 1295 nucleotides. NCBI's taxonomy places the organism in Eukaryota, Metazoa, Chordata, Mammalia, Carnivora, Canidae. The record is from Ensembl.
AUGCUUAUUCUAGGCUUGGGCCAGGCAGGGGGAACCCUCAGGACGCAGACACGGUCGUUUACCACGAAGGAGCAAGAGACUCAGAGCGGGCUUCCUGGAGGAGGUGUCUCCCCCAAGCCAGGGCAGGGUGGCCCCAGUGCCCUGGGACUCGGGUCCACCACGCUAGACCACCUCUCCCGAAUAACGAAUAACGGCAGCCAAGCUCUGCAGGAGGCAAGCACUUCCUUUGUGAGCCGGAGAGACUUCCAGAUCGCUGAAAAUGAGCAGCCGAUAAAAAUACAAUUCCAGUCCCUCGAGCCACACCUCCUGGCGGUUUUGCAAACAGCCGACUCUGGAAAAAGCAGACUUGUGUGGCUUCAUCGUCUCUCAAGUCACAAUUCAGCCUCGCGGAGUCGGGGCACAGGCUGCCCUCUGGCGGUCUGUCCCCUGCGAAGACACCCCCUCCCCACCACUUAAGAGCAGUCGAGCAGAAAAUCCACGGGGAGCAUUUGAACCACAAGCACCUGUUCCACGUCACCUUCCCGACUCCUGAUUUAAGGUCUAACAAACAAAUACGUGUCAUCCCCGCUCCUGAUUCAGGCUGUGGUUUCUAUGACAUUUCCUGACUUGCCUUCAGCAAGACAAGAACAUUUUCUCCUAAAGACGGACUCUUCCGACUGAAAAGUGGCUUUGUCAGUCAACCAGAGAGACGAGGAGAGCUUUGAAAAGCAGAGACUCUCCAUGCUGAUGUGUGUGUUCGGCGUUUGGUCCAUGUUCUGGGGAGCAGGUGUCGUUGGAGACACCCCAAGAGAAUGUCCAGCAGGGCAGCAGGGUAUGGGGUUAAGAGGACCACACUGCCUGGGUUCAGACCCACGUCUGCCUCUUGCUAGCUGGGUGAUCCUAGGCAAAUCACUAAAAUUCUGCAUGCCUCAGUUUCCUUCUCGGUAAAACGAGGAUGCUAGUAGAAUCUAUCUCGUGGAGUUGUGAGGAUCAAACGAGUUUAUGUGCAUAAGGUUCUUGGAAUAGUGCCGGGCCCAUGGCAGGUGCUAUGUGUUUGAGACUGUUGUGGUGACGGCUUCAGGGUGCAAGGUCUCAGCAACCCAGCCCCUUGAAAUGUGGAUAAGAAUGUGGCCAAGGGUGGCUCAGCGGUUUAGCACCGCCUUCAGCCCAGGGCCUGAUCCUGGAGUCCUGGGAUGGAGUCCCAUGUCGGGCUCCCUGCAUGGAGCCUGCUUCUCCCUCUGCCUGUGUCUCUGCCUCUCUCUCUCUCUCUUUGUCUCUCAUGAAUAAAUAAAUAAAAUCUUUUUAAAAAUUAAAAA